CAAUAGCGUAUAUUUAAGUUGCUGCAGUUAAAAAGCUCGUAGUUGGAUUUCGGGUGGGAAUGGCCGGUCCGCCGUUUCGGUGUGCACUUGCUACGCCCACCUUGCUGCCGGGGACGUGCUCUUGAGUUCACGCUCGGGACACGGAGUCGGCGAGGUUACUUUGAGUAAAUUAGAGUGUUCAAAGCAGGCCUACGCUCUGAAUACAUUAGCAUGGAAUAACACGAUAGGACUCUGGCCUAUCUUGUUGGUCUGUAGGACCGGAGUAAUGAUUAAGAGGGACAAUCGGGGGCAUUCGUAUUUCAUUGUCAGAGGUGAAAUUCUUGGAUUUAUGAAAGACGAACUACUGCGAAAGCAUUUGCCAAGGAUGUUUUCAUUGA
Molecule: ribosomal RNA, 377 nt
Filed under: uncultured eukaryote
Lineage: Eukaryota
Description: partial 18S ribosomal RNA
Rfam family: Eukaryotic small subunit ribosomal RNA
Source: RNAcentral